Molecule: ribosomal RNA, 426 nt
Filed under: uncultured Minicystis sp.
Lineage: Bacteria; Pseudomonadati; Myxococcota; Polyangiales; Polyangiaceae
Description: bacterial SSU rRNA
Rfam family: Bacterial small subunit ribosomal RNA
Source: RNAcentral
UGGGGAAUCUUGCGCAAUGGGCGAAAGCCUGACGCAGCGACGCCGCGUGAGUGAUGAAGGCCUUCGGGUUGUAAAGCUCUGUGGAGCGGGACGAAUAAGUCGUGGCCAACAUCCACGAUGAUGACGGUACCGCUUUAGCAAGCACCGGCUAACUCUGUGCCAGCAGCCGCGGUAAGACAGAGGGUGCAAACGUUGUUCGGAAUUACUGGGCGUAAAGCGCGUGUAGGCUGCUCCGAAAGUCGGAUGUGAAAGCCCUGGGCUCAACCUAGGAAGUGCAUUCGAAACUUCGAAGCUGGAGUCCUGGAGAGGAAGGCGGAAUUCUCGGUGUAGAGGUGAAAUUCGUAGAUAUCGAGAGGAACACCGGUGGCGAAGGCGGCCUUCUGGACAGUGACUGACGCUGAGACGCGAAAGCGUGGGGAGCAAACA